CCUAUGGGUGGCUGCAGUGGGGAAUAUUGCACAAUGGGCGCAAGCCUGAUGCAGCCAUGCCGCGUGUGUGAAGAAGGCCUUCGGGUUGUAAAGCACUUUCAGCGGGGAGGAAGGCGUUAAGGUUAAUAACCUUGGCGAUUGACGUUACCCGCAGAAGAAGCACCGGCUAACUCCGUGCCAGCAGCCGCGGUAAUACGGAGGGUGCAAGCGUUAAUCGGAAUUACUGGGCGUAAAGCGCACGCAGGCGGUCUGUCAAGUCGGAUGUGAAAUCCCCGGGCUCAACCCGGGAACUGCAUUCGAAACUGGCAGGCUAGAGUCUUGUAGAGGGGGGUAGAAUUCCAGGUGUAGCGGUGAAAUGCGUAGAGAUCUGGAGGAAUACCGGUGGCGAAGGCGGCCCCCUGGACAAAGACUGACGCUCAGGUGCGAAAGCGUGGGGAGCAAACAGGAUUAGAUACCCUUGUAGUC
This 465-nucleotide ribosomal RNA is filed under the name uncultured Klebsiella sp. RNAcentral's name for it is "bacterial SSU rRNA". It matches the Rfam family "Bacterial small subunit ribosomal RNA", at positions 338 to 795 of the family's 1533-position model. Lineage: Bacteria; Pseudomonadati; Pseudomonadota; Gammaproteobacteria; Enterobacterales; Enterobacteriaceae. The record is from RNAcentral.